UCUUCUUUUCCCUUACUUUGUUGGCACAAAAUAGAUAGUAUUCCUGAGUCCAUUACACUUUCCAGAAACUUCCUGCUGCUCUCUGAGAGCGGUUGCCAUGAUUCUACCUUAGCACUGGAUAGCUUCACCUUUUUUGAAUGACCUUUUUCUCCUGCAGAGGAAGAAUCCUCAUGUUCCUCAUCUUCCCUUCUGACUGCCUGAGUGACAAGCUUUCUUUUCUGUUCACGUUUAUCUCCUUUGCCCGCCGUUCCCCUUUUCUGGCUGGUAGGUCCUUGCUGGUUGUGUGACUUGGUGGGUCUUUUCACUCUCCCCCCAUCGGCGGUCUCUCCCCUUUUACCAGAAGAUGCACGGUGGCGCUUCAUGGUCACCCCACCGCCUGCUCAACGAUCCCACUGCCACCGAUCCGCGUCAGUCCGCAGAGCCGUUAGCAAACUGUAUCGCGCGCGCAACCCGGCGCAUGCGCAUUGGCAGCCACCGCCC
This 480-nucleotide long non-coding RNA is filed under the name Gallus gallus (chicken). Lineage: Eukaryota; Metazoa; Chordata; Aves; Galliformes; Phasianidae. The record is from RNAcentral.